AUCCAACUGACGAGUCCCAAAUAGGACGGAAUACGUGUCAAACUAGAU
This 48-nucleotide non-coding RNA is filed under the name Schistosoma mansoni. Lineage: Eukaryota; Metazoa; Platyhelminthes; Trematoda; Strigeidida; Schistosomatidae. The record is from RNAcentral.